Molecule: ribosomal RNA, 531 nt
Filed under: Bacteroidota bacterium
Lineage: Bacteria; Pseudomonadati; Bacteroidota
Description: bacterial SSU rRNA
Rfam family: Bacterial small subunit ribosomal RNA
Source: RNAcentral
UGGAGAGUUUGAUCCUGGCUCAGGAUGAACGCUAGCGGCAGGCUUAAUACAUGCAAGUCAAGGGCUCUUUGGUUCCGCAAGGGAUCAGAGGACCGGCAAACGGGUGCGUAACGCGUAUGUAACUUACCCCUCACCGGGGGAUAGCUCCGGGAAACCGGAAUUAAUACCCCAUAACAAUCCGGAAAGGCAUCUUUCCGGGUCCAAACCUCGGGCAACCUUGGAGUGAGGGAGAGGCAUGCGUCCCAUUAGUCAGUUGGUAGGGUAACGGCCUACCAAAACUUCGAUGGGUAGGGGGUCUGAGAGGAUGAUCCCCCACACUGGUACUGAGACACGGACCAGACUCCUACGGGAGGCAGCAGUAAGGAAUAUUGGGCAAUGGGCGAAAGCCUGACCCAGCCAUGCCGCGUGGGUGAAGAAGGCCUUCGGGUUGUGAAGCCCUGUCGGACGGGAAAAAUGUCAAUCGUGCUCAUACCACGGUUGAGUGAUGGUACCGUUAGAGGAAGCACCGGCUAACUCCGUGCCAGCAGCCGC